This 437-nucleotide ribosomal RNA is filed under the name uncultured bacterium. RNAcentral describes it as "bacterial SSU rRNA". It matches the Rfam family "Bacterial small subunit ribosomal RNA", at positions 28 to 507 of the family's 1533-position model. The record is from RNAcentral.
GAUGAACGCUGGCGGCGUGCUUAACACAUGCAAGUCGAACGAACCUUCGGGUUAGUGGCGGACGGGUGAGUAACGCGUGAGAAUCUGCCCUCAGGAGGGGGACAACAGCUGGAAACGGCUGCUAAUACCCCAUAUGCCGCGAGGUGAAAUGAAUUUCGCCUGAGGAAANNNNNNNAGAGCUGCUUGAUUACUAGUGGGUGGAAUGCUCACACAAGCACAAUCACCGAGUGGUCUGUGAGAGAUGAUCAGCCACACUGGGACUGAGACACGGCCCAGACUCCUACGGGAGGCAGCAGUGGGGAAUUUUUCUGCGCCAAUGGGCGAAAGCCUGACGGAGCAACGCCGCGUGAGGGAUGAAGGCCUCUGGGCUGUAAACCUCUUUUAUCAAGGAAGAAGAUCUGACGGUACUUGAUGAAUAAGCCACGGCUAAUUCCGUG